CCCUUAGAUGUUCUGGGCCGCACGCGCGCUACACUGAUACGGUCAACAAGUAGUACCUUCAUCGAAAGAUGUGGGGAACCUUUAAAACCGUAUCGUGUUAGGGCUUGACAAUUGCAAUUAUUUGUCAUUAACGAGGAAUUCCUAGUAAGCGCAAGUCAUCAACUUGCAUUGAUUACGUCCCUGCCCUUUGUACACACCGCCCGUCGCUCCUACCGAUUGAAUGUUCCGGUGAACAGUUUGGAGCUAUGGCUUUCAUUGGGGAAACUCAAUGUCAGCCAAUUGGUGAAUUUCUGUAAACCUUAACAUUUAGAGGAAGGAGAANUCGUANCA
RNAcentral lists this ribosomal RNA (330 nucleotides) under uncultured eukaryote. Its description in RNAcentral is "partial 18S ribosomal RNA". It matches the Rfam family "Eukaryotic small subunit ribosomal RNA", at positions 1470 to 1796 of the family's 1831-position model. The record is from RNAcentral.